GAUGAAGAACGUAGCGAAAUGCGAUAAGUAAUGUGAAUUGCAGAAUUCAGUGAAUCAUCGAAUCUUUGAACGCACAUUGCGCCCCUUGGUAUUCCGAGGGGCAUGCCUGUUCGAGCGUCAUUAUAACCCCUCAAGCUCAGCUUGGUGUUGGGGCCUGCUGCACUGGCAGCCCUUAGAAUCAGUGGCGGCGCCAUCUGGCUCUAAGCGUAGUAAUUCUUCUCGCUAUGGAGUCCUGGUGGAUGCUUGCCAUCAACCCCCAAUUUUUCUAUGGUUGACCUCGGAUCAGGUAGGGAUACCCGCUGAACUUAAGCAUAUCAAUAAGCGGAGGA
Molecule: unclassified non-coding RNA, 329 nt
Filed under: soil metagenome
Description: partial contains 5.8S ribosomal RNA, internal transcribed spacer 2, and large subunit ribosomal RNA
Rfam family: 5.8S ribosomal RNA (bases 1-120)
Source: RNAcentral